AGUGAACGCUGGCGGUAGGCCUAACACAUGCAAGUCGAACGGCAGCACAGUAAGAGCUUGCUCUUACGGGUGGCGAGUGGCGGACGGGUGAGGAAUACAUCCGAAUCUACUUUUUCGUGGGGGAUAACGUAGGGAAACUUACGCUAAUACCGCAUACGACCUACGGGUGAAAGCAGGGGAUCUUCGGACCUUGCGCGAUUGAAUGAGCCGAUGUCGGAUUAGCUAGUUGGCGGGGUAGAGGCCCACCAAGGCGACGAUCCGUAGCUGGUCUGAGAGGAUGAUCAGCCACACUGGAACUGAGACACGGUCCAGACUCCUACGGGAGGCAGCAGUGGGGAAUAUUGGACAAUGGGCGCAAGCCUGAUCCAGCCAUACCGCGUGGGUGAAGAAGGCCUUCGGGUUGUAAAGCCCUUUUGUUGGGAAAGAAAAGCAGCAGGUUAAUACCCCGCUGUUCUGACGGUACCCAAAGAAUAAGCACCGGCUAACUUCGUG
Molecule: ribosomal RNA, 492 nt
Filed under: uncultured bacterium
Lineage: Bacteria
Description: partial 16S ribosomal RNA
Rfam family: Bacterial small subunit ribosomal RNA
Source: RNAcentral